Molecule: transfer-messenger RNA, 396 nt
Filed under: Anaerolineales
Lineage: Bacteria; Bacillati; Chloroflexota; Anaerolineae
Also listed under: 1 other name
Description: DSOS01 sp020354045 X2 Standard tmRNA
Rfam family: transfer-messenger RNA
About the family: Bacterial tmRNA, also known as 10Sa RNA or SsrA, is named for its dual tRNA and mRNA-like properties. Its role is to liberate the mRNA from a stalled ribosome.
Source: RNAcentral
GGGGAUGAAAGGCUUCGACGGGAGAGGCUGGCCCCGAAUUGCGAGCCGAGAGGCGCCGAACUCGAAAAAUCAGCGCACAAGAUAAGUGCCAACCGCACUUCGUAUGCUGCUCUUCCUCUCGCUGCAUAAGCGUUAGGGAAACAGCCGGCUCUCCAAGCAGGGCCGCGUCCGCCCACCCCGUUCUCUGGCCGGAGGUGGGGCCGGGCGUGACAAAGUCAGAGUGCCGCAUGCCACGCUGCUAAGCAUGCGAAAGAGGGGCUUUCGGGCCUCAGCGGCUGGUCCACCGUUCACCUGGCCGGUUGGGUGGCGGCCGACGAGAUGGAUAACUGGCUACGCUCGUAGACAUUCGCGGGACGAUUCUUUCGGACGCGGGUUCGAUUCCCGCCAUCUCCACCU